GCACCUCUGUCAUGGCAGGGGUUAAAAGGGAAGCGGGUGAGAAUCCCGCGCAGACUCGCUACUGUGUUCGGUAGGGGUAGGGCCACGAGGCGCAGCGCGCCUCAGCCACUGGGAGACUGGGAAGGCGGCCCUGCUUGAAACCGUUAGUCAGGAGACCUGCUCAU
RNAcentral lists this non-coding RNA (164 nucleotides) under pig gut metagenome. The record is from RNAcentral.